AGUCGAGGGGUAUAGCACUUCGGUGCUAGAGACCGGCGCACGGGUGCGUAACGCGUAUGCAAUCUACCUUUUACAGGGGGAUAGCCCAGAGAAAUUUGGAUUAAUACCCCAUAGUAUAUAUGAAUGGCAUCAUUUAUAUAUUAAAGUCACAACGGUAAAAGAUGAGCAUGCGUCCCAUUAGCUAGAUGGUAAGGUAACGGCUUACCAUGGCAACGAUGGGUAGGGGUCCUGAGAGGGAGAUCCCCCACACUGGUACUGAGACACGGACCAGACUCCUACGGGAGGCAGCAGUGAGGAAUAUUGGACAAUGGGCGCAAGCCUGAUCCAGCCAUGCCGCGUGCAGGAUGACGGUCCUAUGGAUUGUAAACUGCUUUUAUACGAGAAGAAACACUCCUUCGUGAAGGAAUUUGACGGUAUCGUAAGAAUAAGGAUCGGCUAACUCCGUGCCAGCAGCCGCGGUAAUACGGAGGAUCCAAGCGUUAUCCGGAAUCAUUGGGUUUAAAGGGUCCGUAGGCGGUCUAGUAAGUCAGUGGUGAAAGCCCAUCGCUCAACGGUGGAACGGCCAUUGAUACUGCUGGACUUGAAUUAUUAGGAAGUAACUAGAAUAUGUAGUGUAGCGGUGAAAUGCUUAGAGAUUACAUGGAAUACCAAUUGCGAAGGCAGGUUACUACUAAUGGAUUGACGCUGAUGGACGAAAGCGUGGGUAGCGAACAGGAUUAGAUACCCUGGUAGUCCACGCCGUAAACGAUGGAUACUAGCUGUUGGGAGCAAUCUCAGUGGCUAAGCGAAAGUGAUAAGUAUCCCACCUGGGGAGUACGUUCGCAAGAAUGAAACUCAAGGGAUUGACGGGGGCCGCA
Molecule: ribosomal RNA, 857 nt
Filed under: uncultured Bacteroidota bacterium
Lineage: Bacteria; Pseudomonadati; Bacteroidota
Description: bacterial SSU rRNA
Rfam family: Bacterial small subunit ribosomal RNA
Source: RNAcentral